CGAGGCGACCAGUGUCGGGCGGCGUGUCGUGCGUGUUUGUGUGCGUGCGUUUCACUCUCUCUCACGGGAGAGUGGCGCGCGUGCGCUCGCUCGCGUUCGUCGUCGACAGGCACGCGCUUCGAGCCCUGGAUCGUACACUCCAAGUCCACCGCUUAUGAUUGAAACUCUUCUUAGAGGGAUUCACGGCUCUGAAGCCGUAAGAGACUGAGAGCAAUAACAGGUCUGUGAUGCCCUUAGAUGUUCUGGGCCGCACGCGCGCUACAAUGCCGGGCACAGCAGGUUCUUUUCCUACUCCGAGAGGAGCGGGUAACCCUGUGAAAGCCCCUCUUGUUUGACAGUUUGAAUGUCGAUGCAUUCCCCUCUUCGGAGGGUGUGCAUCGGCUAAGGCGUGAUUGG
Molecule: ribosomal RNA, 396 nt
Filed under: Socarnes vahlii
Lineage: Eukaryota; Metazoa; Arthropoda; Malacostraca; Amphipoda; Lysianassidae
Description: partial small subunit ribosomal RNA
Rfam family: Eukaryotic small subunit ribosomal RNA
Source: RNAcentral